RNAcentral lists this ribosomal RNA (308 nucleotides) under uncultured bacterium. Its description in RNAcentral is "partial 16S ribosomal RNA". It matches the Rfam family "Bacterial small subunit ribosomal RNA", at positions 505 to 809 of the family's 1533-position model. The record is from RNAcentral.
GAGACAGCAGUCGCCGCGGGAAUACGAAGGGUGCAAGCGUUAAUCGGAAUUACUGGGCGUAAAGCGUGCGUAGGCGGUGAGUUAAGUCUGCUGUGAAAUCCCCGGGCUCAACCUGGGAAUGGCAGUGGAUACUGGCUCGCUAGAGUGUGUCAGAGGAUGGUGGAAUUCCCGGUGUAGCGGUGAAAUGCGUAGAGAUCGGGAGGAACAUCAGUGGCGAAGGCGGCCAUCUGGGACAACACUGACGCUGAGGCACGAAAGCGUGGGGAGCAAACAGGAUUAGAUACCCGGGUAGUCCCUGUCUCUUAUAA